Molecule: long non-coding RNA, 1031 nt
Organism: Mangifera indica (mango)
Lineage: Eukaryota; Viridiplantae; Streptophyta; Magnoliopsida; Sapindales; Anacardiaceae
Exons: 3
Source: RefSeq, a predicted model, not a curated record
CAAUCACAAGCUGCCCCUUCUAUAUUGAGGAUGCUGGCGAAGAAUUCUUGGGCCUUCUAGGUUUCAGAAUCUAAUGAUUCUUGCAUAGUUCCAGGUCAUAUUUUCUCCUUUACCAUGCUGAUCUAAUCUUUCUUCAUCACUGCAACGUCUUGUUUCUGACCAGUUAUAGAAAGAUCGAGGUUUCUUGUGCUUUAAAUUCAACCCAGAAAACUACUGUUGCAGUAGUCCCUGGAGAUAAGUGAAUUAGAGUAAAAUUGCCUGUGAGUAUUUGCUAUCUAAUCACGGAGUAGAUUCAAGCCGGUUUGAACUUAAGCCCGUUCAAGUUGGUGAUGGAAUAAACAGUGUCGCCAGAACGUUAAUUGACUAAGUCAGAUUCAGAACUGUAAAGAUGAGAACAUCUGUACAAUUACAGGCUAUUUGAUCAUUCGAUUUUUCCUAGGAGGUGAACAUUUAACCUUGUUGUAUAGCGGUAAAAGUCUCACAUGGGUUACUCGAAUCAGUGGUUAGACUUUUCAACCCGAAGCCUUAGCAUAUUAGGAGCUCCAAAAAUUCUUCGAAGUCUGAGAAAAUGAGCAAGAUGGGCAAUCGUUUUAUGGCAAUUAAGCUGUGAAUUUUCUUGGCUGUCGUUCAUCUGAAGGCUGUCAAAGUCAAACAAGAUGCCGAAAAGUCAAUCUGUUUUUAUUAAUUUCAACUUUAGUGGGAGCUGAAAAGGUUUACUUUCGUCUCUAGCUAACCAAUGAAAAUGGGUUUCCCAACUCUGGUCUGCCCCUGAAAUUUGCAAGUCAACAGGUGCGUUCUGCUUUUGAAGGAGAAGUAACUCGGGUUCUAUAACGAGAAGAAGAACAGUGAAGAAACAUUAUGAUACAGAGAAAGUUUGAAAUGGCUCUGACUCAUCUUGUGUUUUCUGUUGUGUUCUUUGUCAUCUUUGAUCUUUUUCUUCUUUGUUUGGCUCAAGAUGAAAGGAAAAUCAAUCCAAAAUGUCCACCUUUCUCCUGUGGUUUACUGGGUGAGAUCGGCUUCCCUUUCUCCAA